CGACAGUUGCCCAUCGUCUGUCGGAACGUUGGCUCUUCAUUUUAGUGCCCUUUUGUUUUUCUCUUACAUACCGGUAUGUAGAUUUUGCUUUGAUUAUUGAUAUUCGCUUUUUUUUUGUUUUCUGUUUUCUUUUUUCCUUUCCUAUGACGUGAUGAAUCCAUUUAGGAAAAAAGAAAGAAAAACGGGAACUAGAUCGUGACGCUGUCUUAAAGAAAUUAGUCCAUCAGUUGCCAACCCUCACCUUUCACUUUAUAAAAACUUGUCACGCGUACUAUACCAGACACGAGGUUUGUGAUUUUAGUGUCUCCCCUUUUUGUCUUUCCCUUCGAAGUUGUUAGCCUGGUGGCUGUAUUUCGUUGUACUGUACAGCAUAUACAUGGGCCUAAAGCGUGCUGGGUUAUAAUAGAAGUAUGGGUGCUCCUAACUGCGGUUUUUCGUCGAAAACAACUUGAAGAAACCUUUUUUGGUACUUGCAUAACGUACAGACAAUAGGUAUAUGUAAUGGGAUUUCCGUUCGAUAUUGAUGACGACGUGCUCGACGAACUCAAGCCAGGGCUAACGAAAAAUUGGAUUUGAAAACAGAGUUAAGGCUACUCACGACUCGCUUGGUAUGAAAACAUUUUCACCUAUUGCUAUGUGCGUCAUCACGUUUUUCAGUGGGCGAAAGGGGCGGAGGGAAGGAAUUGAACGGCGGACUUGGAACUCACGCUUUGAUAACAAAAGCAGUUCGGUUUUUCUUUUUUACUCCUUCUCUUUUGUUUGUUAUUUCCUAAAAAAAAAAUAUAGUGUUGGCAAGUGGUUUGAAAUAAAUGCUUGUUGUUUGGAUGUAGACCGCAUAACUUCGUCGUGGUUGAAUAUCUAACUUGCUAUUUUAUGGAAAAUACAUUAAGGUCACUGUUUACAUUUCACCAUGCCAUCUAUUAGCAACGGACUGUUGUCAGAGAGCGGAUAUGGUUUCUUUAACCUUGAAUGAACGCUACCGGGUACAUGUGCGACACGGUUAACAUUUUUAUUUUGUACUCAACUGGAGGACAACUGAAUAACAGAAGUCUUACGGGAAGGUAAGCAAGAAUUUACAUAACCAAUUGUUUUCAACAAUAAAAUGGUGAUAAUUGAAACUACGACUGCAACAGUCUUGGCAAAUUCUCAGAAAGCUAUUGAGUUAUCGCCUUCUCUUUGUUUUUAUGAAGCAAGACCCGAACAACCUGGUAUGCAUUGGUUAGACCAACAAACAUGUUCACACUGAAAAGAGACCAGUUUUUGGGGAUGAUGACCAAUGAAUAACGAGACCAGAUGAAUCCUGUAGCUGCUAAAGCACCAGAUUGUCUAAUGCUCACUUUUUCUACUGGGCGGUUCAUGUCUCCGAUACCAGCUAAUACCAAGCCCUGGCAAAAAAAUCAGUUAACAAUGAGACAUAGACUUUAACUGCAAUUUUUCUAACCCAUUUGAAGAGUGGUGACCAGAAGAAAACUGUUUUGGGUCCAGCUGGAUGUUCCCAUAAAGGUCGGAGUUUCUGCGGAACGAAUCGAUCAGCAAAAUUUAUAGUGGCUCUGUAGACUGCAGAAGACAUGUUGUUGUGCUGGAUUCACUUUCUGUGUACCAAAAACUGCUAU
Molecule: long non-coding RNA, 1613 nt
Organism: Daphnia carinata
Lineage: Eukaryota; Metazoa; Arthropoda; Branchiopoda; Diplostraca; Daphniidae
Exons: 2
Source: RefSeq, a predicted model, not a curated record